This is a long non-coding RNA of Ornithodoros turicata, 2199 nucleotides long. RefSeq lists it as uncharacterized. NCBI's taxonomy places the organism in Eukaryota, Metazoa, Arthropoda, Arachnida, Ixodida, Argasidae. The transcript is spliced from 4 exons. The record is from RefSeq and is a predicted model, not a curated record.
CGUGCCCCAGACAGACUUUGACAUCGUAACUGCUAACAUGCUAACUUUCCACAUGACAUCGUAACUCAAUAUGUACAUUGAUUCCAUUACAAAGGUGCAGUCAGAACUAUACAGGCUCCUUGCUUCGGCACGAAUGCAGUGAAUGUCUGCCGCACAUGCUAUGCUAUAGAGCAAUAACUGUGAAAAACAAUAGUGCGAAGGACGUGAAUAUAAUUGUUGUCAGUGGAACAUUUGUGAUAACUGUUGUGGGCAACGAUUCAGUAAAUCUGUAUUGAAAAAGUGAUGUGACCAACACACAUCAUGUCGCACAUAUAUGGUGUACGUACUACGGCCAGCCCCAUUCCAAAUCCACAGAAACACGAAAGGCUUUUCCUACUGUCUCAUUGGAUGCUGCCAAUCGUUGCUGCCCCUCUUCAAUCGUGCUCAUUGCUGCCAAAGACUGUUUACAUUGCGUUUUUCUUCAAAUAGUGGUGCUUUGUGAGCUAAUUUCGAUUGUAUUAUACUUAGGGCCUGACUUUUUCGGGUUUUAUUUUUGGCCAAAUUCGGGGGGUAAUUAUCGGGUGAUAUUUUUUAUUUGAAAAUUCGGGUGUAUUCGGGUUAAAUCCCGUUACGACAUAUUCUGUCGUCAGGAAUUCGGGUGAUCUUUUUUUUUCAAAUAAAAAUUUGUCUUAACAUGGAACUAAUGUUUAGCAAUGUUAUCAAACUUUAUUUUAAUGCACGCUUAUGAGUGUGCCACGUGACCUGGAUGUUUUCGGGUAGAUUCGGGUUAAACCCGAAUUUUACAGAUUUUGUUCGGGGGGUAAAUAUCGGGCGGAUACGGGUUUAACCCUAAAAAGUCAGGCCGUAAUUAUACUAUAAUCCGAACACGUACUUUCAUGUAAAGAGUUCUUUUUGCAUUUUAGUGCCCCUUUAAAUAGACAUGAUCUGCCUUCACCGGAUUAUGUAACAGUUCUUUUUGAAUUUGUGGCAUAAUAAUCAAGUGGCAUGUUGAAAACCUAUAGCCCAGAAUAUGAGCCUGUAGCCCAGAAUGUAGGUGUCAUCCUCCAGGUGCACGCAAUAACUGGAGCCUGAUAUGUUAGGGUUCAACCUGAUUGUUCCCUGAAUUUGCAGUGCAUGCGCUUUUUCUUGCUUUCUGUUUAUUUGCCUGUUAUAGAAUAGACUUCUUUGAUAUUGUUUUACUUGCUUUUCUUUGAAAUCUUAAUCAUUUCUCCAUGAGAGUGUGUUCCACAACCUACGUCCCAUCUCCAUACUCACAAAGUGCAUGAAGGUGCACCUAAUGCUUCCUGAUCCAUGAAUAUGUAAAUACUGUUACGUGACGCCAGUGAUGAUAAGGUGGCCAGCAGAACUUUGUACUCAUAUAAAGUGAUGCGACUCCUUAUCUGAGGUUUUUGUUCAUUGAAGUUAACUAUACUGCAAUGUGACUUAUUGUCUUGACUUCGUUGUACGCUAUAGUAUGAGAAGUACAGGACUGCACAGACAGAUUUGCUCAUAUGUUUUGUAAGUGUCCGUCUGUGGCAUCAUCAUGCCACGCAACUCUUUGUACAGUGAGGGGAGGUAGGUUCCUUGGGAGAAUGAAAAAGGAGAUUGGUGUCAUGCAUCAAAAGCUUUUCUACUUUUAACCAACUGUCAAGUGACCAUGGCAAGACUAAUGGAAAACUUUGCAACCACUUACGUACCACAGCAUGUUACAAUAUCACUGUCAUUGUCCGCGCUAUGUGGCUCUAGCUGCACUCUUCUUUAUAUCAUGCUUUCACAUUGUAAUUCCAGUAUUUUUUCUCUUUUUUUUCCUUGUGUUUCAGUUGCAAGUCUUCGCACAGGUGCAUAACAGGACCCUAACCACGGAUCAUGAAGAGAAUGGCGUAGUCCAGGGCACAGAGGGGGACAAUUGCAGCAGAACCCUUUUUCUUAAACAAGGACACUUCUAAUAUGCAUAUUGUUGCUACAACUUCCACCUCUGCACCGUGCUGCGACUGAAGAAUGUCGAGUAGUCCUACUUUUGGACGGAAACUACAUGAGCACACUCUCGAAGAACAGCUCUCAGCUUCAUCUAUGUGCUCCAUUAUUAUUCCUGUACCCUUAGGAGAAUACAAAAGCACAUAUAUGGUUUUACAGCUCUAUGAAGUACAUGAAAACAUCAGAGAGCAGAAAGUCCUACUCUGUCUCCUAAAUUGCUGGACAUUAAAAAAGAAAAAUACAGAG